This 131-nucleotide small RNA is filed under the name uncultured Gemella sp. RNAcentral's name for it is "Listeria sRNA rli38". It matches the Rfam family "Listeria sRNA rli38", at positions 2 to 132 of the family's 150-position model. Lineage: Bacteria; Bacillati; Bacillota; Bacilli; Caryophanales; Gemellaceae. The record is from RNAcentral.
UUGAGUGGGAAUAGAGUACUAACUAAAUUUGAAAGGGAAAUCCUAAUUUAACUGCGUUUUUAGUUGUUUAAAAUGUGUAAAAAAUCUAUAAAUCGAGUAGAUUCCCCACCAAAAACCCCACCAAAAAUAUU